CGUGUAGGUGGUUUAACAUGUCAGAUGUGAAAGCCCUGGGCUCAACUCAGGAAGUGCAUUUGAAACUGUUUUUCUAGAGUAUGGGAGAGGAGAGUGGAAUUCCCAGUGUAGAGGUGAAAUUCGUAGAUAUUGGGAGGAACACCGGUGGCGAAGGCGACUCUCUGGACCAAUACUGACACUGAGACGCGAAAGCGUGGGGAGCAAACAGGAUUAGAUACCCUGGUAGUCC
RNAcentral lists this ribosomal RNA (229 nucleotides) under uncultured bacterium. Its description in RNAcentral is "partial 16S ribosomal RNA". It matches the Rfam family "Bacterial small subunit ribosomal RNA", at positions 568 to 796 of the family's 1533-position model. The record is from RNAcentral.